Molecule: long non-coding RNA, 3900 nt
Organism: Bubalus bubalis (water buffalo)
Lineage: Eukaryota; Metazoa; Chordata; Mammalia; Artiodactyla; Bovidae
Exons: 2
Source: RefSeq, a predicted model, not a curated record
GGCAACCCACUCCAGUGUUCUUGCCUAGAGAAUCCCGGGGACGGGGGAGCCUGGCGGGCUGCGUCUAUGGGGUCGCACAGAGUCAGACACGACUGAAGCGACUUAGCAGCAGCAGCAGCAUAAGGGAGGAAAAAACGUUUUUUCCCUCUACUUAUCUUAGGUUCAUUGGCAGGCCCUGUAAAUCAGACUGAGAAAAGAUAUCAACAAGAGAAAAUCAAACAGAAGUUUAUUACUAAGUGCAUCAUGGAUACACCUAAAGAUGAGUAAUUCAAAGGAGUGGUUAGAGCUUGGGCUUAUAUAGCAUUUUAACGAAAGAACAAUAAAGUUUUAGAGAGGUGACAAGACAAUGGAAAAAGACUUUGAGCUCCUAAGGUGGCAAAUUGUGGGAAGGCAAAUAUAUGGGGAACCUAAUGGUGAAUAAGGGCUAGUGUGCUACUGCAUGCGUGCUUAGUCAUGUCCGAUUCUUUGGAACCCCAUGGACUCUAGCCUGCCAGGCUCCUCUGUCCAUGGGAUUAUCCCAUCAAGAAUACUGGAGUGGGUUGCCAUUUCCUCCUCCAGGGGAUCUUCCCCACCCAGGGAUCAAAGCCAAAUCUCCCUGCAUUGUCAGGCGGAUUCUCUACCACUGAACCACCUGGGAAACCCAUGAAAUAAGGGCUAGUUUAGGCCAGACUUGUAUAGAUCAUCUGGUGCUAUCUCUGAGCUGGUAGAGGUCUAGGGUUGUCCCCAGGGAUUAACUUCUGUCCUUCUUAGUAGAGAGGAGGGAGAGGAAACCUUUCCAAGUGUAGUCUCAUUUUUAGGCAAAUAGGAGUGGGCAGAGAGCUUUUCUUGUAUUUGCUUCUUCUCAGUUUCCUUUAGCUCAAAAUAAUCCUCAGGCCAAAGUAGCAUAUUUGGGGGUGGCAUAUUCUGUCACCCUUCACUAAGCUGAUCAGUAUUUUGUAUUUCUUUUCAUUAACUUAAAACUUGUACCUAAGACUGGUCACUGGGGCUGAAACUAUUCAACCUUUUCUAAUUUAUUCAAGAGGGUGAAAAAAUCAUCUCUGUGAUCACAACUAGCUGGUCAUUGCUUCCUUUAAAGAAUUCAUUUCAAUAUAUAUAUGUGUGCAUCUUAUUUUUAAUAUUUGAUAACUGCACUUUUAACACUACCAGUCUCAAUCCACACUUAGAAAUAAAUGAUUUAAUGUAAAGAGUUAUCUGAGAAACUCUGAGAUCCUGAAAGUUCAGCCCAAUUUAUUACGUUUUUAAAACUAGAAACAGUCAUGAGGUAUACAGGACUUAAAUACUGUUUUAUUAUGUUAAAGAUCAACCCUCCACUACAUCCAUCCUUUGUUUUAAAGAUCCCUUUUAGAAUUCAGUUUUACCCACAAAGAAGCGGGGAGAAUGGGGAAAGCGGGGUGCAGAAUAAUUUAGGGAGUCUUCUCAGGUCAGUUCAUUCAUUUCUUCAAGAAAUAACCUAGCUCCUAUCCCAUAGGCUGGGCAAUAUGCUCAGUGCUGGGAUAAUCAGAUGUACUUGAUUCCUCUCAAGAAAAAUUCAACCCAGGCUUUGUUUUCUCUUCUUGCCCCAUCUUCUGCCCCCAUCUCAUGCCAGGCGCCAGUUGCACAGGCGUGCAGUUGCCAGUGGGAGGACAGAGAACACACAGGUCCUCAGAGAAUCCAAGGGCAGUGGCACAGCAAGACAAGCAUUUUAAUCAGCUGCGAUCUCUGCCUCCUACCAUUUUCUUCCUCUUUCUCCCUCCCCUCUUUCCUCUGUACCCAUAAGUUGGCAUUAAAGGACAUAGCUCGUACUUGUUUGUUUAUUCUUAUGUAGCCUUCUAAGUGUUCUAAUGUCUUUGUUUUUUUUCUGAUUACAAAAGUAGCAUGUGUUCAUCAUUACAUAAAAGUCAAAUAUUUCAGAAAUGCAUGUCCUUUGAGAACAUAUCACACCCCCCCAAAAAACUGCACAGACUUUCCUUUUAACCGAGAGUAAAAGGCCAAGCUUUGCAAUGGUCUGCUGAUUUGCACGCCUUGCUCUGAUCUCGUGUCCUCUGGUUCUGCCCCUGCUUCCUGUGCUCAGCAUCAACACUUGAGCGGGCCGCUACAUCAGGGCCUUCGCACCAGCCAUUCCUUCUGUGGCCCUGCUCUCCCCCAGAUACCUGCCUGGCUUCUGUCUUAGUCUGCUCAGGUCACCAUGACAGAAUACCCCAGACAGGACAGUUUAAACAACAGACAUUCAUUUUCUCACAGGCCUGGAAGACAGAAGCACACAUCAAGGUUUGAGCCAAUUUGAUUUCUGAUCAGCUGGGUUCAUCAGGAUAAUCCUGAGGUGCAAUCAUCUGACAGCUCAACUGGGACCAGAACAUAUAAAUUGCCUCACCUGUGCAGCUGGGCCUCAGGGCUGCUGAAGGCAGGGCUUCGCUCUUCAUGGAGGAUCUUAUUCUUUUAUGGUCUAGUCCAGGCUUCCUCACACAACAGCAUGAAGGUUUCAAAAAGGCAAGAGUGGAAGCUUCCAGAUUCCUUAGGGCACGGGCUUCUGAUGAGCAAGUCAGGAACAGCAGAGUCCAUUGCAAGGGGAUGUGGAUCCAGGACAGCCUGAUUUGUCAGUGGUCAGAAUUAUUGCAAACUGCCAUAUGAUCGGAUUUAAAAUUGCAAUUCCACUCUUCCUCUUUUGCACAGUUAUCUUUGGAUAACAAACUACAAAUUCUCCACAUAAAGUGUUUGUUCACUGCUGAAUCUCCAUCACCUAGAAUGGAACCUAGCAUGGUGGGAACUUAAUAAACAUUGGUUGAGUUCAUUGAAGACAUUAAUUUGAAGCUGUUUUCUGGAACCCUUCAUCCUUAAUGCUUUUAUAACUUUGGUUGUGCUUUUGCUGUUAAAAAGAACUUUAUGAUAAAAUUAUCCCAUUUUACUUUUCACAACAACUUCAAUUAACAGGCAGGAUCAGUAUCAUUGCUCCCACUUUGCAAAUGAGGAAUCUGAGGCAUAGACAGAACGAGAGCCUUGCCCAAAGUCUCACAUCUGAGAAGAACAGAGCUUCUGACAUCAUGUCCCAGGCUUUCCACCAGCUGUCAUGCAAACUUUCAGGUGAAAGAUACUUUCUGCCUCUUCUAUUUCCCUCCUCAGGGCUUCAUGCUUGGAGAGCAUGAAGAGUAAAUAAUUUCAGUUACCCAACUGGCUACAAGCCACAGGGCCAAGAGAAGCAGCACUAUCUCUCUGAAAUCCCUCCUGUAGAAACCAAAACUUAAAGGCCUCGAUGACCCAGAGCCAUCAAGGCACUAAAAGGGAAGGCUGUCGGGACCUAUCUUUAUGGACCUUGCCCUGGGCUGCAUGCACUGUUUGUGUAAAGUUAAACUUUAAAGCCACGUGUCCAACCCAUGGUUGCCAGGCUGUUCUGGUCUGGAUAAGCCUUGGCUUGAGCCUGUAGGGAGCAGAAAACAAUCUCCUCUCAAGCAAUGAGUGGCUGUUCCACUGAGAGGAUUGAUUAAUAAGCAAAUCUUAAUAUCACAGGGAAAUGAUACCAGAUGGAGCAAGUAUACAACUCUGUAUGUUAAAAAUGUGUUGAAAGGCUUGUCCCCUUGCAGAAAAGCCCCUUGAGAGAUCACUUGCUGACUGGGGCUAGAAGCAAGUUAGGGAUGAAAGAGGUCAUUUUUAAAAUAGGAAGUUUUAUGCUUUCUGCUUCAUUCUUUCAACUUAAUGGUAUUUUUAAUUUGCUAUUUAAUAUCAUUCUAAGUAAAUAAAAAAGUUUUAGAUAAUUAUCAUAAGUUUUACCAUUCAUCUUUUUAUUGUGCAGUGUCCAUUUUAAAUACAAAUUUGAGAGCAUUAAAUGUGUAUGGAGAACAGUGAAAUUACACAAUUUGUAUUUUGUAGCUCAAAGAUACAUAAAGAUUUUGUGCUUACUAAAUAAAACAGUAGAAAUACUGGAUAAAA